AACUUAAGAAAUCUUCUGUUUUAGAAUUGAAAGAAAUUAUUAUUUAAAAUAAUCUUUUAUUUAUGAAAAAAACAGAUCUUUUAUCAAUGGUAAUAUCAAUGUUCAUGAAAGAUCUUAGCACAAAAAGAAGGAAAAUAAAAAAUUUAUGUAAUUCACAGAUAUAGAUGUGUAAAUAUAUUAUAUACAUAUAUACGUGAGCAAUAUUUUUAUGCAAAAAUAUUUAAGUGAUGCACUUACAGAAGUGAUUUUCCUGUACGAUUCUCAAAAUUGCGCAAUUAACCUCCAUAAAAAUGAAUAAAAGUAUCGCUAGUCCACCGCGAAAAUUCAUUUCCAACAAGGAAAGUGCACCAACUGUCUUCUUCGACCCCCCGUGACAUCAUAUCUGUAUUAAAUAGACACACACACAUUGAGAGUAAAUAAAUGAAGAAAAGAUGUUUCAUACUAUAUUUAACGAAGAUGUAAGAGAAGUAGCAAGAGCACGAGUAAUCCUUGCGGUGGAUCGAUCACUGGAACGAGUAAAUCCUUCGAAGGAACUUACUUAGAAGAAAGUGAUCGUUAACGAUUGCCAUCGAAGAAGGGGAAUAUAUUUGCGAUCACGACGAACGAGUGGAAACUGGCAGCUCUUAAACAGACGAAUAUCGCUCUCACUAACGAAAGUUACCUCUCUGGUAUCACUGUGCCUCUUCCUCGCUCUUUUCAUACCAAUUAGAAACAUUCGUCUCGCUCGGAUGCGAUUAUGAAUCCGUGUAUCUUUAUAAUGUUUUAUAAAUCCAAUUAAAAUGAUCUUUCGAUCAAUAGGAUAUUGAUUCCCUUUUUGAUAUUUUUAUAUUUUGUUUACAAUUUUAUUUUUCGUU
This is a long non-coding RNA of Apis dorsata (giant honeybee), 854 nucleotides long. RefSeq lists it as uncharacterized. The transcript has 2 exons. NCBI's taxonomy places the organism in Eukaryota, Metazoa, Arthropoda, Insecta, Hymenoptera, Apidae. The record is from RefSeq and is a predicted model, not a curated record.